This 3833-nucleotide long non-coding RNA is filed under the name Cinara cedri. Lineage: Eukaryota; Metazoa; Arthropoda; Insecta; Hemiptera; Aphididae. The record is from RNAcentral.
GAUUCAAAAAUUUAAGUAAGAAUAUCUAUUUAUAUCUAAGUAAUCUAAAAUGUUUUUAAUUUUAAAGCUAGCUUGGAGCAUUUAAAAACUAUAAUAUAUUUCAUAAUUAUAACUCGCAUUAAAAUUAAAAUAUCUACACAAUCUUAUGAUAUUCCUCGGAUAAUAUUCAUUCAAUUUAUAUUCAAUUAAUUUUUACAUAUUUUUGAAAUACCUACUUUAGUAGCAUUAUUGUAUAUUAUUUGUACUAAUGCAGCGGUCCGCAUGCUGCCCUUUAACAAAUUUAUCGAGGCCCGUAACAAAACGUUUAAAGCUCAAUUUUACAUUCUAAAAUCCAAAAUUCUACAUAUUCUACAUAAGAGUAAAUAAAACGGCCUUACGCUUUAUUAAGAUGAAACACGAGGUGACGUAGUAAGAGCACACGUGAUAGAUAACCAAAAUGUAUCAUAAUGACAUUACAGGUGAAUCGUUUAACAAUAUAUUGUACAAUCAUUUGUUUGUACUACCCACCCCCUCUAUUUAACUACAAUAAUGUGCAUUAUAACUGUUUGUUUAAUUAAUAUCAGAUUUUCUCAGAUGUUUAAUUUUUAACAAAAUAUUGUAUGUGGAAAACUUUUUAGUUAACAAAAUUAUAAUAAGAAACUGUCUGAAAGGCAGCAGUUUCAGUCAUAAUAUUAUUUUUUUAUAGGUACAGUCCCAGUAAAUUUCUAUUGGAAAUAAUAACAUGAUGUCGUUCAAACAUGAUUUAACAAUGAAUGCUUUAUUGAUGUUUGUUUUUUUCCAAGGAACAUGUACUCGUAAGUUGUAAAUAAAAUUAACAAAUUUCUUUAAAUGUUUAUGCAGUAUACAGAAAUAAAUGGUUAAAUUAUUGGAUAAAGUGCAGUAGUAAAAUUAUAUUCAUAUACUUAAUUAUCAAUUAUUUUUCACAUUUUUCAGUAAGACCAACAUGUGAAGGUAUGACUAAAUAAUUGUUAUAAUACCAAUAAUGUAAUAUUGACGUUCAGCAAAAAAUAUUUUUUCUUACAAAUAAUAAUUAUUAGUACAUAAUUAUUAGGCAGAGCCGUACUAUUUAAUAUUUUUAAUCCUGAGAGAAAGCUUUAGUAAUGCGUUCCCAUAUUCAUUUAAUCUAACAUAACCAGGGGUUUCCAGAGAGUGUGGAAUCUGGAAUGUGUUGGGGGGGGGAUUAACAAACUCCCAGUUUUUAAUAGUUUUUAUUAAGAGUCAGAAAAAUCUGAAAAAAGGUAAUUAGGUUUCGAAUAAAAUAAAAAAUUCAAUUUUCAGUCACAAAUAUAUUAUUCUUAUGUCCUCCAUUAUUUAUUUUUUUCGAGGUGGUUCUAAACAUAAUCUACAUUCUUAUUUCAUUUAUACCUAUCUGUAUUGAAAACUUAUUCAAUUGACCCAUGGCAAAAUUAACCUAGUGUAUUAUAUUCUUCAUAAAAUAAUUAAACGUUAUUUUUACAUACGUUAACUGUAGGGUCAGAUAUAAUUGAUAAAUGGGAAAAAUUAUUAUUAUAUUUAAUACUUAAUAUUGUUAAAUAUAAUUUUUUUUUCAUACCACCGGGGAUGGAAAUAAAUGUAAUGUGUAUAGUAAUAAGUGGUCCAUACGUUACCCUACAAUGUCGGAAAGAGUUAAGUAAUCAGCGGACAUGAUCACGGACACGAGAACGAUAGAAAAUUGCAUGAAUUGUGCGCUCCACGUGUAGUCUGUUGUUAAUCAUAAAAGACAAAUAUUCUAUUGAUACUUACAUUGAUUAUCCGUAGAAACAGUAUAAAUUAAUUAAUAAAGUGUAAUGGUUUUAAUAUUAUGAUUGGUAUCUAAGUUUCAAUUCAAAAAUCUUCUAAACAGUUUCUAUUUUAUGUACACAGCAAGUUUCACGCUAACUUUAUUGAAUAAUCAAAUAUCAAAUUAUAAAAAUCAAGAGACAUUUAGAAUGAUAACUAGACUAGAUUUACUUUCUUUAUCAAUUAUCUGUAAAUACUUCAUAUUAUAUAAGCUUCAUACCUUUACUAAUAUUAUAUAAAGUAAGGACUCAAUAAACAAGCAUUGCGAAAUUACUUAGCAAUUAUUUACUUGUAAAGUACUAAUUUGAAUAAGACAGAAAUCAUAAUUUAAAUCUUGUUUUGGUAUUUGUGUGGUUUUAUAAUUUACCAACAAUAAUACUAAUCAACCGAAAUUUAACUAAAAUUGUUUAAUAAUCUAUUCGCUUAAGUUUGUAAUGGUGUCCGAAUGCAGAGUUUUCUAUUAUAAAUCACUGUAAUCAAUAGAAUAACAAUUGUUGGUACAAUUAUACGAACCUCUGUUCGUAGGAUUAAUACACCAGUACCCCAGUACCGCCAUUAAAUAACCUAUUUUAUAAGAUUUAAAAUGGUGUAUAAAUGGCAAAUUCUUGAUUAUAAAUUAUUUCAAAUGUAAUAACAAUAGACUUUAGUGGGCCCGUUAUUUUAGUUUUCUCGUAAACGUUUAGUUUACACAUUUUGUGUUUUUGCUACUAAAUGUUUGAAUUGGUUUGGAAUCAAUUAGGUCAUUUGAGGGAAGGCUAAUUAUUUUACAUAUGCGUAUAUUUUACUAUUAAAACUGUUGAUAAUAUUUACUGAAAUUCCUAAUAUCAUUUCAAAUGAAUUUUGUAAAUUGUCCUUAUAGAAUAUAUGUACUUUAAACUGAGACGUAAGUAAAUAGUAAAAUAUUAUAUAAUAAAAUAAUUUUCAUAUUUGGAUUAUACAUUUUUAAUAAAUGAAUAAACAAUUAUUACAUAUAUAUAUAUAGCAUGGAUAAAAAAUAGAACAAUAAAACAAUUUUGGGAACAAGAAAUUAGGACCAUACCCACACGUAAGUUACAAAUUAUUAUUAAGUAUGAGUUAAAGUUACAGCGUUCUAUAUAUUAUUAUGCCACAUUACUCUAACAUUUUUUUUUAAAAAUAAACUUGGAUAAUGCUGCCAAUUAAUAGAGGAUAGAACUGAUAAUUUUGUCCACUAUUGAUUUUUCCAAUAUAAAAUACAAUUUUUCCUUUAGAAUUUCGUACAAAUUGAUUUCAAGAUAAUAAAUAAAGAUGUAUCGUUAAGAGGGCAUAACAUUUGCUCUGUCUAUUUAACAGGUAAUGUAGCAAAAAUGUCUUUUUGUCAGUGUCAUCAUUACACGCAUAGGACGCCAGGAUGCCUAUGUCCUAUGCAAAUAAAUCAUAAUAUUAAUUUUUUGUUUACGUAGUCGGUAGAUUUUAAAAUAAUUUAGGCAUCUUGGUAUUAAAUAAAACUGUUAAAAAAAUAUUAAAAGAUGUGAGGGCAGAUCACCACCUCGUCACGAGUAAUAUCUUACGUCGUUGUGUAAUACCUUCAAUGGGCUAAAACGUAAAUUAAACCUUUCAACACUAAAAUUCUGAAACUUCAUUUAUUUAUAGAAUUUUCAAUAUAGGUUGCUAUUAGGAAACCAAAAGUGUGCAUCCAAAAUUAACAAUGACAAAAAAAAAAAAACUUAAAUGUAAAUACGCUACGCAAGUGCAUUUUGAUGCUAUACAACUAAACUAUAAAAAACAAAAUAAAUAAAUAAGUACAAUAAUUGAGAUAAGAUAACAAAAAGCUCAAUUCAGCUUAGUUUCGGCCAUAUCUCCAAAAUCGAUGUAUUACUUAACAAUAUUAUACAUCAGCUGUUAUAUUUAAUACUAAUAUUAUAUUUAGCUACUAAUUUACUAUAUUUAUGUUGUAAUCAAGUUAGUGUUUUUUAAAUGAAUGCCUGUUAUGACGUAAAUAAAUAAAAUAAUAAUUAUAAUAAAAAUUAGGUAGCUAAUAAUUCAUUUUAACAAACAUCAAAUAAUUAAAAUGUUUAGCUAAUAUGGAAACUAUG